GACGAACGCUGGCGGCGUGCUUAACACAUGCAAGUCGAACGAUGAAGCCGGAGCUUGCUCUGGUGAAUUAGUGGCGAACGGGUGAGUAACACGUGAGUAACCUGCCCUUGACUCUGGGAUAACUGCUAGAAAUGGUAGCUAAUACCGGAUACGACCCUCGGAGGCAUCUCCAGGGGGUGGAAAGAAUUUCGGUCAAGGAUGGACUCGCGGCCUAUCAGCUAGUUGGUGAGGUAACGGCUCACCAAGGCGACGACGGGUAGCCGGCCUGAGAGGGUGACCCGCCACACUGGGCCUGAGACACGGCCCAGACUCCUACGGGAGGCAGCAGUGGGAAUAUUGCACAAUGGGCGCAAGCCUGAUGCAGCAACGCCGCGUGAGGGAUGACGGCCUUCGGGUUGUAAACCUCUUUUAGUAGGGAAGAAGCGAAAGUGACGGUACCUGCAGAAAAAGCACCGGCUAACUACGUGCCAGCCGCCGCAGUAA
Molecule: ribosomal RNA, 483 nt
Filed under: uncultured bacterium
Lineage: Bacteria
Description: partial 16S ribosomal RNA
Rfam family: Bacterial small subunit ribosomal RNA
Source: RNAcentral